RNAcentral lists this small RNA (21 nucleotides) under Arabidopsis thaliana (thale cress). RNAcentral's name for it is "ATSL049020". The record is from RNAcentral. Lineage: Eukaryota; Viridiplantae; Streptophyta; Magnoliopsida; Brassicales; Brassicaceae.
UUGGAGAAGAGAACUAAUAGC